ACGGCAUCUACCUGCUUUCAGUUUUGGUCCUAGAAAUAUGUCUGUGUCAGCCAUCACUAGUUUCAAGAUGAGAACUUACAUAAAUUUCUUGGACCUGCUUCAAAAAGGCUUUUGUGAGGCCGAUACACCAGCCAACCAAACAUGCCUGGACCCCCAGCAGUGAACACAGUGGAAACACUUGCCCCAGGCAUCUGCAUAGCUCAUUUCGUCACCUCCUUCAAGUUUAGCUCAAAAAACCACCUUGUCGGGGAAGCCUUUUCUGACCACCCAUUCAAGAGUGUUAACCCCCACUCCUACCCCAAGAUUCUUAUUGCUCUUCUCUGUCUUAGUUCACUCUGUGGCACUUACUACUUCCAAACAUACUAUAGAAUGUAUUGAUUUUGUGUAUUAUUGUCUUCUUCCACCAAAAUAUAAAUUCC
RNAcentral lists this long non-coding RNA (419 nucleotides) under Homo sapiens (human). RNAcentral describes it as "HSALNT0040846". The record is from RNAcentral. Lineage: Eukaryota; Metazoa; Chordata; Mammalia; Primates; Hominidae.